Molecule: transfer RNA, 64 nt
Filed under: Cyrtodactylus monilatus
Lineage: Eukaryota; Metazoa; Chordata; Lepidosauria; Squamata; Gekkonidae
Description: tRNA-Tyr
Source: RNAcentral
CUGGGGGGGCGCGGCCCCGUAAAGCAAGGCUACAACUUGCCACCUACUUCGGCCACCUAUACCU